AUACAGAGGGUGCGAGCGUUAAUCGGAAUUACUGGGCGUAAAGCGCGCGUAGGCGGAUAUUUAAGUCGGGUGUGAAAGCCCCGAGCUCAACUCGGGAACUGCAUCCGAUACUGGAUAUCUAGAGUAUGGUAGAGGGAAGUGGAACUUCCGGUGUAGCGGUGAGAUGCGUAGAUAUCGGAAAGAACACCAGUGGCGAAGGCGGCUUCCUGGACCAAUACUGACGCUGAGGCGCGAAAGCGUGGGGAGCAAACAGGAUUAGAUACCCUGGUAGUCCACGCCGUCAACGAUGAGAACUAGACGUUGGCCUGACCCUUGAAUGACUUCGUAAGAGGUUAUUGAAUGGUCAGGUUAGUGUCGAAGCUAACGCGUUAAGUUCUCCGCCUGGGGGAGUACGGCCGCAAGGUUAAAACUCAAAAGGAAUUGACGGGGGCCCGCACAAGCGGUGGAGCAUGUGGUUAAUUCGAUGCAACGCGAAGAACCUUACCUACCCUUGACAUCCUCAG
RNAcentral lists this ribosomal RNA (503 nucleotides) under uncultured Coxiella sp. Its description in RNAcentral is "bacterial SSU rRNA". It matches the Rfam family "Bacterial small subunit ribosomal RNA", at positions 523 to 993 of the family's 1533-position model. Lineage: Bacteria; Pseudomonadati; Pseudomonadota; Gammaproteobacteria; Legionellales; Coxiellaceae. The record is from RNAcentral.